GUCUGCGGCCACGUCACCCUGAAUAAGCCCCAUGUCUGCUCGGAAGCUAAGCAGGGUCAGGCCUGGUUAGUUCUUGGAUGGGAGACCGCCUAGGAAGACCAGGUGCUGUAGGCG
RNAcentral lists this ribosomal RNA (114 nucleotides) under Pteropus alecto (black flying fox). Lineage: Eukaryota; Metazoa; Chordata; Mammalia; Chiroptera; Pteropodidae. The record is from RNAcentral.